UCCUGAGUUCUUUAAACAUAUUCUUUUUCUAUGGUUUAUAUUUUCUUGUUGAUUCAAAUUUUUUUCUUGUUACUUGAUACUCAAAGCGGGAUGUCCAUGUCCAUUAGCUCAGUCCAAUAAUAUCCAUUUCGAUAUUGGACAAAUAGUGUCUAUGUCCACUAAGGUCCAUGUCCAUUAACGUUCAUGCUCAUUAAAGCUCAUGUCCAACUGGGCUGUCCAAUGAGCAUAACAUAACCAAAUUUUAACACAAUAGUAUUUGCUUCAUAUUUCAACCAAAUUAUCAAAUCCAAAAGCAAAUUUAAACAACAAAGUAUUAAA
This 318-nucleotide small RNA is filed under the name Arabidopsis thaliana (thale cress). Its description in RNAcentral is "ATSL190530". Lineage: Eukaryota; Viridiplantae; Streptophyta; Magnoliopsida; Brassicales; Brassicaceae. The record is from RNAcentral.